RNAcentral lists this ribosomal RNA (669 nucleotides) under Fusarium verticillioides. RNAcentral's name for it is "eukaryotic LSU rRNA". The stretch from base 302 to 455 matches the Rfam family "5.8S ribosomal RNA". The record is from RNAcentral. Lineage: Eukaryota; Fungi; Ascomycota; Sordariomycetes; Hypocreales; Nectriaceae.
UCUACCGAUUGAAUGGCUCAGUGAGGCGUCCGGACUGGCCCAGAGAGGUGGGCAACUACCACUCAGGGCCGGAAAGCUCUCCAAACUCGGUCAUUUAGAGGAAGUAAAAGUCGUAACAAGGUCUCCGUUGGUGAACCAGCGGAGGGAUCAUUACCGAGUUUACAACUCCCAAACCCCUGUGAACAUACCACUUGUUGCCUCGGCGGAUCAGCCCGCUCCCGGUAAAACGGGACGGCCCGCCAGAGGACCCCUAAACUCUGUUUCUAUAUGUAACUUCUGAGUAAAACCAUAAAUAAAUCAAAACUUUCAACAACGGAUCUCUUGGUUCUGGCAUCGAUGAAGAACGCAGCAAAAUGCGAUAAGUAAUGUGAAUUGCAGAAUUCAGUGAAUCAUCGAAUCUUUGAACGCACAUUGCGCCCGCCAGUAUUCUGGCGGGCAUGCCUGUUCGAGCGUCAUUUCAACCCUCAAGCCCUCGGGUUUGGUGUUGGGGAUCGGCGAGCCCUUGCGGCAAGCCGGCCCCGAAAUCUAGUGGCGGUCUCGCUGCAGCCUCCAUUGCGUAGUAGUAAAACCCUCGCAACUGGAACGCGGCGCGGCCAAGCCGUUAAACCCCCAACUUCUGAAUGUUGACCUCGGAUCAGGUAGGAAUACCCGCUGAACUUAAGCAUAUCA